GUGGUUGUGGCUCAGCGGUAGAGCGCUUGCCUAGCACAUGCAAGGCCCUGGGUUCGAUCCUUAGCACCACA
This 71-nucleotide transfer RNA is filed under the name Marmota marmota marmota (Alpine marmot). It matches the Rfam family "tRNA". From Rfam's summary of the family: Transfer RNA (tRNA) molecules are approximately 80 nucleotides in length. Their secondary structure includes four short double-helical elements and three loops (D, anti-codon, and T loops). Lineage: Eukaryota; Metazoa; Chordata; Mammalia; Rodentia; Sciuridae. RNAcentral also lists the same sequence under 1 other name. The record is from Rfam by way of RNAcentral.